RNAcentral lists this long non-coding RNA (1534 nucleotides) under Setaria viridis. RNAcentral describes it as "long non-coding RNA (SVIR_LNC004795)". Lineage: Eukaryota; Viridiplantae; Streptophyta; Magnoliopsida; Poales; Poaceae. The record is from RNAcentral.
AGGAUUUGGACCUAUUUGGCACGAUUAGCAAGUUUGGACAUCCAAAAAUACGUUUUCAGAGUUGAUGUACCUAUUUGGCACAGCGUGACAAGUUCGAGGGCCACCGGUGCAUUUCACUCUAUUGAUAAUUGAUGGACUAUAUUAGUGUCAGCUAUGUUUCAAUUUGCAAGCAACCGAAUUGUCCUUUAACGCUGUGCGCGUGACAUGCUUAGAGGCUUUUCUUAAUGCACAUUGUCUCUAAAAUGCUUAAACUUAACAUUGGUGAACGGAGUUUGAUUGCUUCAACGUGAGUUAUUCACAGGAAAGAACCGACAUGAUAAAUUUCUGAUAAUCUCGAUGCUCUUUGAGAAGACACACUCCCCACUUGCCAAAAUUAUGCUGGCAUGUCGGUAAAUGGAUAGAAACUUGCAUUUGCCCGGUGAAAAGAAAAAACAUUAUUGUCAAAUUAUUACUACCAAGCUUUAUUAUUGUUACAAAUGUGACAUUCGAAAGCAAACAGUAGAUACGUAAGGCCAUUCCAAUAAGGAGUUUCACAUGGUUCCAUCCCAAUUAAAUGAGGUGCUACAUAAGUUAAACUGUUGACGUAAGAUGGGAGGAGUUUUAACUUGAUGCUCACCGUUUCCAACAUGUUGGAAACUGUGUGAAACUCUCAUUGAGUGUUUGUGUUUCAUCUCACAUAUUUCAACUUUCACUUAUCACUUAGAUACAAAUUUAAAUGGGAUGCUAAUAUAUGAAACCGUGAAAUGGAACUUUGGAUUGGAGGUCUAGUUUUAUUCGCCAUUUCAACAAUUAAAAGAUGGCAGACCAGAAGUUGGGUUUCCAAAAAGAAUUGUAGCUUAAAUAUGUACCCACUCACACGGUAGGUAGGUUGUUGUUCUGUAAAGCUGCCAUUUUUGGGGGAAGUGAUGCAGUGUACAAGUAAAAUGGCAAUGAUUUAGCUGAGUUGGCAUACAGACUUAAUAAAAAGAGAAUUCGGAUUCGUAUGAGUUAUCAACAUUUUUUAACCUAUUUUAAUAUUUUAAGAGAAUAUAUUCAACAUUUAUAAAAUUUAGAUCAACAAUAUAAAAAAUUGUGCUAUCUUCUUCUCCAACGACGGUAAGGCGCCAGACGAGGCAGAAAAGGCAUGGCAGAGGCGGUGCGCGGCAGCACAGGUGGUGGGGUAGCAGAGAAGGUAGACAACGUGGUUGUAUCGCUGUCGGGAUAGAUCCCUAAUACCCGCAAAGGAAGGAAGAAGACGGACUCCUAUUAGGAUUUUUCUAUAAUUCUACUAGGACUUAUACCACGUAAUCCGUCUAUGACUCCUCCUUGUAACCGACUAGUUAUCCCGCCAAUUGGAGUAUAUAAAGGAGGGCAGGGGUACCUAGAUCAACAAAGACAACAGAUGGCAAAUCCUCAUACCUCAACACCCAAGCGCAGGGCGCAAUAUACAACACCCCAAACAUGACGUAGAGUAUUACGCUACUCUGGCGGUCCGAACCUAUCUAAAUCGCAUGUCCUCGCUUUUACCUUCAAGUUCUAGGUCCGGCGAUCCCCC